RNAcentral lists this transfer RNA (77 nucleotides) under Pyrobaculum ferrireducens. RNAcentral describes it as "tRNA-Ile2 (CAT) (tRNA-Ile2-CAT-1-1)". It matches the Rfam family "tRNA". From Rfam's summary of the family: Transfer RNA (tRNA) molecules are approximately 80 nucleotides in length. Their secondary structure includes four short double-helical elements and three loops (D, anti-codon, and T loops). The record is from RNAcentral. RNAcentral also lists the same sequence under 2 other names. Lineage: Archaea; Thermoproteati; Thermoproteota; Thermoprotei; Thermoproteales; Thermoproteaceae.
GGGCCCGUAGCUCAGCCAGGUGGAGCGCCCGGCUCAUAACCGGGCGGUCCCGGGUUCAAAUCCCGGCGGGCCCACCA